AAUAAGAUGCCUGAAAAAAAGGAUUAUUUUGAUAGAAUAAAUUAUGUGUAAUUACACUCUUAUUA
RNAcentral lists this transfer RNA (65 nucleotides) under Melyridae sp. 'Dasytidae' GENSP01. RNAcentral's name for it is "tRNA-Ile". The record is from RNAcentral. Lineage: Eukaryota; Metazoa; Arthropoda; Insecta; Coleoptera; Melyridae.